GACGAACGCUGGCGGCGUGCUUAACACAUGCAAGUCGAACGGAAAGGCCCUGCUUUUGUGGGGUGCUCGAGUGGCGAACGGGUGAGUAACACGUGAGUAACCUGCCCUUGACUUUGGGAUAACUUCAGGAAACUGGGGCUAAUACCGGAUAGGAGCUCCUGCUGCAUGGUGGGGGUUGGAAAGUUUCGGCGGUGGGGGAUGGACUCGCGGCUUAUCAGCUUGUUGGUGGGGUAGUGGCUUACCAAGGCUUUGACGGGUAGCCGGCCUGAGAGGGUGACCGGCCACAUUGGGACUGAGGUACGGCGCAGACUCGUACGGGAGGCAGCGGUGGGGAAUAUUGCGGAAUGGGCGGAAGCCUGAUGCAGCAACGCCGCGUGCGGGAUGACGGCCUUCGGGUUGUAAACCGCUUUCGCCUGUGACGAAGCGUGAGUGACGGUAAUGGGUAAAGAAGCACCGGCUAACUACGUG
RNAcentral lists this ribosomal RNA (468 nucleotides) under uncultured bacterium. RNAcentral's name for it is "partial 16S ribosomal RNA". It matches the Rfam family "Bacterial small subunit ribosomal RNA", at positions 28 to 507 of the family's 1533-position model. The record is from RNAcentral.